Molecule: long non-coding RNA, 830 nt
Organism: Actinia tenebrosa (Australian red waratah sea anemone)
Lineage: Eukaryota; Metazoa; Cnidaria; Anthozoa; Actiniaria; Actiniidae
Source: RefSeq, a predicted model, not a curated record
UAGAUUCAUCUCGUUAAGAGAAACCCAAUUACACCCAUAAUCCCAUUUAUAGUCUUGACAAUUUACUCUGGGUUUAGCUUUUGUCUUGUAAUUUGAACAACUACCCAUCAUCCAUCCGAACUUCCCGCCCACAAAUACAACUUGGUCCUCACGCCUAUCUAGAGGAACAAGGCAGUAAGUAAAGGAGGAGGGGAAACCUUUGUUUAUAGAGCGAGAAAGACAACCCGCAUGACACUAGAACUGAAUUAGAAGGAGUAUUAUCGAUAACAGUUAGUGCGGGUACCACUGCCAAAAACCCUUGUGGCACUCUGCUGUUCUUGCAAGCUGUUGCUGUUGAUAAUUGCUACUGAUGUUACUAAUCGGCAUGCUCGUGGUGAUGCAACAAAUACUACAGCUACCUUACAUUCAGACCCCUUAGUACUGAUGCUGUUCCUGCUGGUUCCCGUAUUAGUGAUGUAACAGUAUAAUCAUCAUCAUUAGCAGCAGCAAAAAAAUAGUAGGGCUCAGUUGUUCAGAGCCCGAUUAGUGAUAAUCCUGGGUUAAUUCUUAAUAAGACCUAUAGAGUUAAUCCUCGAUUAGCGCUAAUCCAGCUUUGAACAACCCGGCCUAGUAGCAGAAAAAACAACACUUCGAUAAGUUGGUGGCUAUAAAUGUGCUUUCAUUUUCUUUCAUUACAAGCAUCACUGGCCAACUAUACCUUGCCACUGAGGCUCUAAAGUUGGUCAGUCCCUUGGCCUUACAGGUUUCAAUGUUAAAGUGUGGUUCAUAAAUUGUAAAUCUGGUAUUUUCUGGUUCAUUGUCAAUAUAAAGCUUUCUCUUCUUUUUUUAAA